AGAAAACUGGGCUGGGUGUGAUAGUAAAGACCCCCGAACCCAGCACUAGGGAGGCAGAGGCAGGUAGAUCUCUGUGAGCUCAAGUCUGGUCUACACAAUGAGUUCCAAGUCAACCAGGGCUACACUGUAGGCAUACAUUUUUUGCAACCUACUUUUAAUAAGGGUUUAACCUCUCCUCUAGCUCACCACCCAGCAGAGGCAGUGUUAGAGGAAAGUUAUUAGGGUCUGGGGGAAGUGGACCUGUUCAGCAAUAGUUCUUUGGGGAUGAGUUCGAUCUUUGUCAGCAGUUCAGUCCUGUAGCAAACACCAAAUACGACUCAGCAGCUGCAGACCAGUCCUCUAGGCAUACAGACUACACACAUGAACCAGCAGCUGCAGACCAGUCCUUUCAUCAAGCAGACAUCAGACACAAACCAGCAACUGUAGUUCAAGCCUGAAGAAACUGCCAGGCUCACGAACAGGCCUGAGCCUGAGGCCAUGGAAUUGGCAAGCUGCCGCAGGACCAUGAAGAGUGGUUCUUGGGCAUUUCCCACAAUGUCAGGGUUAUCUCAAGUUGAGCUCAACAUUGCUAUGUAAAUGGGCUCCCUCACGCUGAGGACAGGACUAAGAGGGAGCUAGCUGGCAGAGAAUGGACGUGUGCAGCUGGCUGCUACAGAGAAGAUGGGGCCCCCUGGUUCAGACCCACAGAAGAAACUGGUCUGACCGUCAUCACUCAACUGGCCCUGCUGACCCAGCUCAGAGAUAUAGUCUCUCAGGGACCGGAGCAGCUCCAAGGAAGAGAGAAUCUGGCAGACACAACCUAAAACAGAAUGCCUGAGGCCUUAAUCUCCACAGCCUUCCAUGUUGACGAAAGCCUGGUGUUGCCCAUCCUCCAAGUUACCCCUCCCCUCAUGCCUUUUCCUGAAAGGAUUCACCUCCAGCAGCCCUUCAGCCUCAGCCUUAGCCUCCACUUGAAGAAGGUAGGUGGUGGGAGGGGGUGGCUGUGCCCCACCCCCCACCCUGACCCCAAGGCCACAGUGGCAUGAGGGGAGAAGAAUACAAAGAAGAAAAACAGUCUUUAGUAAAGAAUAGCAAGGCAGAGCAAACCAAACCCUGGCUCGGUGCUCGUCUGCCACUGUCUGUGGCGUCAGAUUUAUAUUCUUUCAUCAAGCGUCCUUUCACAUGUCUGCUAUAUCCAAACAUCCUUUUCACCUGUGUCUGCUUCAGGAAAACAGUCUCUCGUGUGUUUGCUUAGCAAGAUAUCCUUUCACCUGUGUGCCCCAGCAACACAGCAUUUGAUAUAACUAACUUUCCAAAGAACUAUAAGUUUCCGCUUCACUGCACAGUGAAAACUUAUCUCAAAACAACAAGAACCUCAACAAGCUGAAGGUAACCCAUUAGGGUAAUGCCAAAUCAAGUCCGA
RNAcentral lists this long non-coding RNA (1402 nucleotides) under Mus musculus (house mouse). RNAcentral's name for it is "Catsper1 antisense upstream". Lineage: Eukaryota; Metazoa; Chordata; Mammalia; Rodentia; Muridae. The record is from RNAcentral.